AAAAAAAAAAAAAAAAACAACGAGUUAUAUAAGAAUUAAUUAAAGAUACAAAGUAUAAUUUACGUAUUUAACUAUUCAUUUAUGAUGAAAGACCUAAGUUUUAGAACAUUCCAGAUAUAGCCAGCUAUUAUUUUAGCUGAAUACACUGUAAUGUUAUUUAAGGUAUGAGUUACAGUAUCAAUAUCGGCUAUAUAAUUAAUGGAUGAUUGUUUCAUACAAGAAUAUAUUGGACAAUCAAAAAGUAUAUGUUCAAUUGUUUCUAACUCCUUAUUGUUACAAAUAGUACAGAUUUCAUUAGGAUUAAUUUUAUAUGUAGAAUCCUUAUAAGUGAACGUUAAGCAGAAUGAAUUACAUAAUCGAAGCUGUGCAAUAGUUCUUGUAAUCUGGAUGGGCAUUUUUAGGCAUAAGUAUUUUUGACUUAAUUCGGAAAGAGCUAGGUGUUUAUAUAAGGGGAGAAAAUUGGAUUGCUGACAAAGAGAAAUAUCUAAUUCUGAGAGCUUAUUUUUAAAUUUGAUUAACAAGGCUUUUCUAUUCAGUUGUAGGGAAUGAAGGGAGAGAUUAUUCCAAAUAGGUUCAGCAUCAAUAAAAGUAAAAAGUGAUUUUACCUGCGCUGCCCAGUUAUACCUGCUAUCGGUCUCCAUCAGUUGUAGUUGACGAAAAAAGCACAUUUUGGGGUAACGGGAAUCGUCCAUCAUAUAAAUUUUCUUUAACCAGUUUAGUGUCCACUUGAAUAUAUUAUACAAGAGUUUGACUCUGCCGCAUUCCACUCUGACUAUGUAACCGGGUGUGGAUAUGGGAAGCAUAAGAAUUCGUUUUAGGAAUUGUACUUGAACUUGUUCGAGAACAUCUACAUAACGGAGUGCCCAUACAGAAAUACAAUUGGAGAUUGUACUUGUUACUAAUGCAUCAAAAAGUUGUAGCCUCGUUUGCAUGCAGUCAAUUUUAAGUUUAGCUAGAACAGGUAUAAGUGCUCCAGUUGCUUGUUUAGCUUUCGCAUUACUCACAUCUGCCAUUUCACGGAAUAGAGACGAAGAGGCAAAAGUCACUCCAAGAUUUCUUCUGAUAGAAGAUGUUUAAUUAAUUGAUAUGGAAAGACACCUUCUCACCUUAAAAAGUAUGAAAAAACUCUUGAAGGGCCCAAUUCAAAAUACAAUUGACAAUGGCGAAGUGCUUAGGGACUCAAAAAACCAAGCAGCAACUUAAAAAAAUUCAUAUUAGUAAUGGUAGCAAAAACUGGAACUAUAAAAAUGUUAUGGUAUCAGAUGUUUAAGAUUUAGUGUCAUAGCUAACUAGGUAGAAUAUUGUAUGUUUUUAUUAUUAUUUUAUGCACCAACAAUCGUAACUACGUAGGUAUUUUGAUAACUCAUCCAAUAUUAAUAAAUUAAAGAUCAGUCUAGAUUAAUAUACACUUUUUUUUGAAAAA
Molecule: long non-coding RNA, 1423 nt
Organism: Diabrotica virgifera virgifera (western corn rootworm)
Lineage: Eukaryota; Metazoa; Arthropoda; Insecta; Coleoptera; Chrysomelidae
Exons: 2
Source: RefSeq, a predicted model, not a curated record